Molecule: long non-coding RNA, 611 nt
Organism: Cotesia glomerata
Lineage: Eukaryota; Metazoa; Arthropoda; Insecta; Hymenoptera; Braconidae
Exons: 3
Source: RefSeq, a predicted model, not a curated record
UUAUCUGAAAUUAAUUAUUGAAGCUUUUCAAAACUACGGACAUUUCUGUGGGUGAAUUUUUAAAAAAUACGCCUUACGCAAUCGUGGUUUUUGACGAACAUGAUGAUUUCGAUAAUAAGUUGAUAGACCUUGUUCCAACUUCAUGGAUAAUUAUUAAUGAGGAUGACGAGGAAUGUUUGUAUCAAUAUCCACCAAUUGAAAUAGCAAGAACCCAGCUAACUAAGUGGUUGAAAGAACUGAAAAAACCUGACAAGAAUUGGACAAGUCACCAAGUUGAGGUUAAACUUCGUGCUCAUGAUUACAAACAAGGUCUAAGAAGACUUCAGCGAGCUUUUACAACUGCUCAAGCAGCUAGCGAGUCCGAAGAUUCAUAUAAACCGACGUUAUGAUGUGAGACGGUACACGAAGAAAUACAAGCUAUAUUAAAUGAAUCCUCUUCAUUGAACAAUGAAUCAAUAGUGGCUAAAUAAAAUUGUAAUGAAAACCAAUCGACGAAAGAUUCUGAGAGUUCAAAAACAAGUAUUCACAAUAAAACAGCAAAUAAUGCAAACUUAUCUUUAAAGUGAACAUUUUAAUUUAAUAUGUAGCUAAUCUGAGUGGUGCUGAAGGAA